Molecule: long non-coding RNA, 1260 nt
Organism: Bombus huntii
Lineage: Eukaryota; Metazoa; Arthropoda; Insecta; Hymenoptera; Apidae
Exons: 2
Source: RefSeq, a predicted model, not a curated record
UUUCUGUCAUAAAGCGGAAAGCACCCGUUCCUCCAACAUUUAGAGUAUUAACGAUACUUUUUUCUUUGCAGAAAGAAUAUUUUGCUGGAUCGUAGGCGAAUAAAUCUGAAGAAACCACAGCAUUCUCAAUAACACUUGCAGCAGAUGAGGUAUUUGAAUCUUCAUCACAAUUCGUCGGAAGUACUAUGUGUGUUAUUAAAUUCGCCUCGUCAUGAGCUUGAAGUAUUUCGCCCGAAUCACCUGAUUCCAUUUUUACACGUAUUAUAUCCGCGCCUGUGAAAUUUGUAUAUUUCUCACGAGCUUUUUGAGAUAACCGAAUUUUAACACAAAAUCUUGGAAUAUACUUGUAUUACUCAAUUUUAGAUUAAAUUAUCCCAAACCCAUUCUGAAAAUUAGCAAAAGGAUCCAAAAAGAACAUCAAACAGUUUUCGGUUACUUAGGAAUCCGAAAAUGGAUAACAUAGGUUGGAACAUCAUCACUAUAUUCACAUUUUGAAACAGUAUAGACCUGUGGCUCACUCUAGCGUAAAUACCUUGUACUACAAUAAGGUAAAAGCUACUACGGCUAAUUUAACUAUACAGCAGCCUGGCCGAGGAAAUGAACAAACUUUAUUUAACAAGUUUAUUGAUUAAACGCAGGAAUUAUUAGUCAAUAAUAACUGUGAUCACUCUCAAAUUUCGUAUUCGAUUUUGAUUCAUAAGACACACAUUUCGAAGAUAUAAAUCGCACGUUUCUUAAUACCAUAAACUUCAAUUAAAUUAAUGUUUACUGGCAUUAGUUAAUAACUAUUCGUGUUAUUGGAUAAUGAAUAGAUCAUAAACAAUCAUGUAAAAUCCUAGCAGACGUAUUCUCGUGUUUGAUGAUUUGAUGUCCGACUUGACGUGUUUUCAAUCUACAUCCAACACAAACGAUAUGACCAUGAACAAACCAGGGACUUGGUGGCAGUGAGAUUUCCUGAAAAACUGAGCAUUCUAGAACUCGGGUCUAGAUGAAUUUAAUAAUUAAUUUUCUAAAAUAUCGCAAAGCGUCUGCAAGUUUACAGGCCACUUCUGGCAAUGGUCCUUUCACUGCUACGCAAAUUCUUUUACUCCUUCGUUAAUGUAUCUCCAGAUAAAUUAUUUUAAAUCACAUCCUUCAUAAUGGUGGAUUAAAGCCGUCAUUUGUAUUAUUCUUAGUCCUAUUAAAUCCUUUCCAUCGAUAAUAAUUAAACAAUCACCAACUGUAACAUUUAACAUAUAAAAUAAAAACAGAUUAUUCCGU